CGCGCUGUUCUAUUUUGUUGGUUUCUAGGACAGCCGUAAUGAUUAAUAGGGACAGUCGGGGGCAUCAGUAUUCAAUUGUCAGAGGUGAAAUUCUUGGAUUUAUUGAAGACUAACUACUGCGAAAGCAUUUGCCAAGGAUGUUUUCAUUAAUCAGGAACGAAAGUUAGGGGAUCGAAGACGAUCAGAUACCGUCGUAGUCUUAACCGUAAACGAUGCCGACUAGGGAUCGGACGGUGUUAUUAUUUGACCCGUUCGGCACCUUACGAGAAAUCAAAGUGCUUGGGCUCCAGGGGGAGUAUGGUCGCAAGGCUGAAACUUAAAGAAAUUGACGGAAGGGCACCACCAGGGGUGGAGCCUGCGGCUUAAUUUGACUCAACACGGGGAAACUCACCAGGUCCAGACACAGUGAGGAUUGACAGAUUGAGAGCUCUUUCUUGAUUCUGUGGGUGGUGGUGCAUGGCCGUUCUUAGUUCGUGGGGUGACUUGGCUGUUUAAUUACGAUAACGAACGAGACCUUAACCUGCUAACUAGCCCGUAUUGCUUUGGCAGUACGCUGGCUUCUUAGAGGGACUCUCGGCGCGA
Molecule: ribosomal RNA, 582 nt
Filed under: uncultured fungus
Lineage: Eukaryota; Fungi
Description: SSU rRNA
Rfam family: Eukaryotic small subunit ribosomal RNA
Source: RNAcentral